RNAcentral lists this long non-coding RNA (222 nucleotides) under Solanum tuberosum (potato). RNAcentral describes it as "long non-coding RNA (STUB_LNC005738)". The record is from RNAcentral. Lineage: Eukaryota; Viridiplantae; Streptophyta; Magnoliopsida; Solanales; Solanaceae.
GGGGUACUUAGAUUUCCCCCGAUUUGGCCGAAAUUGGCCAUUUGAUGACGUUAACCCUUAAGAAUGAUGUCAAGCGCUCCAUCAUUAGGAGAAACAUGUCAUUUAACAUAAUUUGGGUUACUCAAACUUCACCCGACUAGACCCAAGAACAAAAUACCGCAACCCAAUAAUUUAUGAUUAAUUUUAAAGCAUGCAAUUUGGUAAAUUAACAAUUUAGGCACG